ACUUAAAUUGAAGAGUUUGAUCAUGGCUCAGAUUGAACGCUGGCGGCAGGCCUAACACAUGCAAGUCGAGCGGUAGCACAGAGAGCUUGCUCUCGGGUGACGAGCGGCGGACGGGUGAGUAAUGUCUGGGAAACUGCCUGAUGGAGGGGGAUAACUACUGGAAACGGUAGCUAAUACCGCAUAAUGUCGCAAGACCAAAGUGGGGGACCUUCGGGCCUCAUGCCAUCAGAUGUGCCCAGAUGGGAUUAGCUAGUAGGUGGGGUAACGGCUCACCUAGGCGACGAUCCCUAGCUGGUCUGAGAGGAUGACCAGCCACACUGGAACUGA
This 327-nucleotide ribosomal RNA is filed under the name Klebsiella pneumoniae. Its description in RNAcentral is "bacterial SSU rRNA". It matches the Rfam family "Bacterial small subunit ribosomal RNA", at positions 1 to 322 of the family's 1533-position model. The record is from RNAcentral. Lineage: Bacteria; Pseudomonadati; Pseudomonadota; Gammaproteobacteria; Enterobacterales; Enterobacteriaceae.